RNAcentral lists this ribosomal RNA (440 nucleotides) under uncultured bacterium. Its description in RNAcentral is "bacterial SSU rRNA". It matches the Rfam family "Bacterial small subunit ribosomal RNA", at positions 338 to 794 of the family's 1533-position model. The record is from RNAcentral.
CCUACGGGAGGCAGCAGUAAGGAAUAUUGCUCAAUGGGCGCAAGCCUGAAGCAGCGACGCCGCGUGGGCGAAGAAGGUCUUCGGAUCGUAAAGCCCUUUUUUAGGUGACGAGCAAGGACGGUAGCCUAAGAAGAAGUCUCGGCUAACUACGUGCCAGCAGCCGCGGUAAAACGUAGGAGACGAGCGUUAUCCGGAAUUACUGGGCGUAAAGCGCGUGUAGGCGGUGCAGCAAGUUCGUCGUGAAAGCGCCCGGCUAAACUGGGCGAGGUCGAGGGAUACUGCUGGACUGGAGAGCGGGAGAGGCAGGUGGAAUUCCGGGUGUAGUGGUGAAAUGCGUAGAGAUCCGGAGGAACACCAGUGGCGAAGGCGGCCUGCUGGCCCGCAACUGACGCUGAGACGCGAAAGCAUGGGGAGCGAACGGGAUUAGAUACCCCUGUAGU